CAGGCCUAACACAUGCAAGUCGAACGGAGCUACUUUGACAGAUUCCUUCGGGAUGACGUUGAUUUAGCUUAGUGGCGAACGGGUGAGUAACACGUGAGCAACCUACCUUUCAGAGGGGGACAACAGUUGGAAACGACUGCUAAUACCGCAUAAGACCACGCUAUGGCAUCGUAGAGGGGUCAAAGGAGAAAUCCGCUGAAAGAUGGGCUCGCGUCCAAUUAGCUAGAUGGUGAGGUAACGGGCUCAACAUGGGCGACGAUUGGGUAA
RNAcentral lists this ribosomal RNA (267 nucleotides) under uncultured bacterium. RNAcentral's name for it is "partial 16S ribosomal RNA". It matches the Rfam family "Bacterial small subunit ribosomal RNA", at positions 43 to 287 of the family's 1533-position model. The record is from RNAcentral.